CAUCAAACCACAAACAUAAGACCUCCACUUAGGUCCUCAUCAAUCACUAGCGUGGUAAACAACACAUGCCACCAGUUUAGUUCAAAUAUAACUCAACACUAAACAUAACAUACAUCAUGUAUUAAACAGGGACUAACCAAGUCUUAGGGCCAAGCACAGUACUAAUACAUAAACCAAUCUCUACUUUACUUACAUUACAAUCUCUUACAAAUCAUUAUAUCAAUUUACAAUACAUGUCCACACUAAAACACUAAUCUAAUACUAUUACAUGAGCAAGACCUUUACCCUUGAUGUCUUCCUGGCCUACCACUGACCUGCAAAACUGGGGUUAGGGGAGAGGGGUGAGCUAAAAAGCCCAGUGAGUAGAAACAAGGAAAACAGUUCAUUAAUUACAUGCUUUCAUGAAAUGCGUCACAGCACAAACAAAUCAUAUCACGGAUUGGACCUAACCCCAAAAUAUCCCUUCCAGUCUCAGUAUGCCCGGUCCGGCCGGGUCUCACAACUUUCGUAUGCCUGGCCUGGCCAGGUCUUACAACAACUGUAUAUGUAUGCCUGGCCCGGCCAGGUCUCACAACAUUUCUAGGGCUAGUGGGGUCGUCCUUGGUCCAAUCUCCAUCAACAGUAAUCCGACCAGGUCUCACAACAUUUCUAGGGCUAGUGGGGUCGUCCUUGGUCCAAUCUCCAUCAACAGUAAAUAAUGCAAUGCUUCAUAUUCGUGUAACUAGUGCAAUCAACCUAUUACAUAUAAACAUGAUGCAUGAGCAUGCUUUAGGCAAUUGAUUUCAUAAAAUAAAAGAUUAAGUUUAGUUCUACUCACUUCUGGCAGACGCUGGACUGACUCUGCAACUGCUAACACUGAUGGCCUCCUCGGUCCCUUGGGUCCGGUCCUACACAGGUGGACUCGAAUGAGGUGCCAAACACAUUCUAACCACUCAUAAACAACUACCCAAAAACCCCUUACAACAUCACUUAAACAUGCAUAGAAAACAACCUUGAAAAGGCUGGACAGGGCACUUUCGGCGGCACCUUCGGCGGCCGAACCCUCUCUCCAGAGACGAAACUCGGGCACCUUCGGCGGCACCUUCGGCGGCCGAAAG
This 1097-nucleotide long non-coding RNA is filed under the name Manihot esculenta (cassava). RNAcentral's name for it is "long non-coding RNA (MESC_LNC000782)". The record is from RNAcentral. Lineage: Eukaryota; Viridiplantae; Streptophyta; Magnoliopsida; Malpighiales; Euphorbiaceae.